This is a long non-coding RNA of Oreochromis aureus, 466 nucleotides long. The record is from Ensembl. Lineage: Eukaryota; Metazoa; Chordata; Actinopteri; Cichliformes; Cichlidae.
GCUGCGUUGACACACUCACGACGGCUGACAGGAUUUCAAACAGUCUGCUCAUCAGUGAGAACAGAAGACGUCAGUUAUGGACAAAUUAUCAUCAAAGACAAGAAAGCAAGGUCAAGGACGAGAGAAAGUAAUCCAGCUGUAAUCUACUCAGCAAUAAGGGCUGAAGAUGUUAGUUAUGGACACAUAACCAUCACACCAAAGAUGAAAAGAGACUUUGAACCAGAGCCAGACGUCGUCUACUCUUCACUGAAGUAGUCCACCAGUCCAACCACUGACGUCUAACUGGCCACCCCAGCACCUCAAGAGUACAACUAUUCAUUAACAUAUUUUUUUAUGUUUUGUUUUUUUGUUUCUUUGUUUAUUUUUUCAUUUAUGUAGACUCAUAUGAUUUUUAAAAAAUAUGUUAAUAUAUUCCAUAGGUACAGUAAGUUAAUUGUUGUUUAUAAUACAAAUAUGAAUUCUCAGA